This 482-nucleotide ribosomal RNA is filed under the name uncultured bacterium. RNAcentral describes it as "partial 16S ribosomal RNA". It matches the Rfam family "Bacterial small subunit ribosomal RNA", at positions 28 to 523 of the family's 1533-position model. The record is from RNAcentral.
GAUGAACGCUGGCGGCGUGCUUAACACAUGCAAGUCGAACGAUGAAGCCCAGCUUGCUGGGUGGAUUAGUGGCGAACGGGUGAGUAACACGUGAGUAACCUGCCCUUGACUCUGGGAUAAGCCUGGGAAACUGGGUCUAAUACCGGAUAGGAACGUCCACCGAAUGGUGGGUGUUGGAAAGAUUUAUCGGUCAUGGAUGGACUCGCGGCCUAUCAGCUUGUUGGGGAGGUAAUGGCUCACCAAGGCGACGACGGGUAGCCGGCCGGGGAGGGUGACCGGCCACACUGGGACUGAGACACGGCCCAGAAUCCUACGGGAGGCAGCAGUGGGGAAUAUUGCACAAUGGGCGAAAGCCUGAUGCAGCGACGCCGCGUGAGGGAUGACGGCCUUCGGGUUGUAAACCUCUUUCAGUAGGGAAGAAGCGAAAGUGACGGUACCUGCAGAAGAAGCACCGGCUAACUACGUGCCAGCCGCCGCCGUAA